AGAGUUUGAUCCUGGCUCAGGAUGAACGCUGGCGGCGUGCCUAAUACAUGCAAGUCGAACGAAACUUCUUUAUCACCGAGUGCUUGCACUCACCGAUAAAGAGUUGAGUGGCGAACGGGUGAGUAACACGUGGGCAACCUGCCCAAAAGAGGGGGAUAACACUUGGAAACAGGUGCUAAUACCGCAUAACCAUAGUUACCGCAUGGUAACUAUGUAAAAGGUGGCUAUGCUACCGCUUUUGGAUGGGCCCGCGGCGCAUUAGCUAGUUGGUGGGGUAAAGGCUUACCAAGGCAAUGAUGCGUAGCCGAACUGAGAGGUUGAUCGGCCACAUUGGGACUGAGACACGGCCCAAACUCCUACGGGAGGCAGCAGUAGGGAAUCUUCCACAAUGGGCGAAAGCCUGAUGGAGCAACGCCGCGUGGGUGAAGAAGGUCUUCGGAUCGUAAAACCCUGUUGUUAGAGAAGAAAGUGCGUGAGAGUAACUGUUCACGUUUCGACGGUAUCUAACCAGAAAGCCACGGCUAACUACGUGCCAGCAGCCGCGGUAAUACGUAGGUGGCAAGCGUUAUCCGGAUUUAUUGGGCGUAAAGGGAACGCAGGCGGUCUUUUAAGUCUGAUGUGAAAGCCUUCGGCUUAACCGGAGUAGUGCAUUGGAAACUGGGAGACUUGAGUGCAGAAGAGGAGAGUGGAACUCCAUGUGUAGCGGUGAAAUGCGUAGAUAUAUGGAAGAACACCAGUGGCGAAAGCGGCUCUCUGGUCUGUAACUGACGCUGAGGUUCGAAAGCGUGGGUAGCAAACAGGAUUAGAUACCCUGGUAGUCCACGCCGUAAACGAUGAAUGCUAAGUGUUGGAGGGUUUCCGCCCUUCAGUGCUGCAGCUAACGCAAUAAGCAUUCCGCCUGGGGAGUACGACCGCAAGGUUGAAACUCAAAGGAAUUGACGGGGGCCC
RNAcentral lists this ribosomal RNA (948 nucleotides) under Ligilactobacillus murinus. RNAcentral's name for it is "bacterial SSU rRNA". It matches the Rfam family "Bacterial small subunit ribosomal RNA", at positions 8 to 922 of the family's 1533-position model. RNAcentral also lists the same sequence under 1 other name. The record is from RNAcentral. Lineage: Bacteria; Bacillati; Bacillota; Bacilli; Lactobacillales; Lactobacillaceae.